Molecule: ribosomal RNA, 321 nt
Filed under: uncultured eukaryote
Lineage: Eukaryota
Description: partial 18S ribosomal RNA
Rfam family: Eukaryotic small subunit ribosomal RNA
Source: RNAcentral
CCCUUAGAUGUCCUGGGCCGCACGCGCGCUACACUGACAUGUUCAACAAGCCUCCUAGUUCGACAGGAUUUGGGAAAUCUUUGAACGCAUGUCGUGAUAGGGAUAGAUCAUUGCAAUUAUUGAUCUUGAACGAGGAAUUCCUAGUAAACGCGAGUCAUCAGCUCGCAUUGAUUACGUCCCUGCCCUUUGUACACACCGCCCGUCGCACCUACCGAUUGAAUGUUUCGGUGAAGAUUCCGGAUAGGACUUUUUUGAUUUAUUUCAAUUUUGUCUUAAAAGCUAUCUAAACCUCAACAUUUAGAGGAAGGUGAAGUCGGAACA